UACGUAGGGGGCAAGCGUUGUCCAGAUUUAUUGGGCGUAAAGAGCGUGUAGGCGGUCUGGUAGGUCCGUUGUGAAAACUCGAGGCUCAACCUCGAGACGCCGAUGGAAACCAUCAGACUAGAGUCCGGAAGAGGAGAGUGGAAUUCCUGGUGUAGCGGUGAAAUGCGUAGAUAUCUGGAGGAAUACCGGUGGCGAAGGCGGCAUCCUGGACCGACAUUGACGCUGAUGAGCGAAAGCUAGGGGAGCAAACGGG
RNAcentral lists this ribosomal RNA (253 nucleotides) under uncultured bacterium. RNAcentral describes it as "partial 16S ribosomal RNA". It matches the Rfam family "Bacterial small subunit ribosomal RNA", at positions 524 to 776 of the family's 1533-position model. The record is from RNAcentral.